Molecule: ribosomal RNA, 316 nt
Filed under: uncultured bacterium
Lineage: Bacteria
Description: bacterial SSU rRNA
Rfam family: Bacterial small subunit ribosomal RNA
Source: RNAcentral
GGACGAACGCUGGCGGCGCGCCUAACACAUGCAAGUCGAACGGAGUUGUGUUGAAAGCUUGCUGGAUAUACAACUUAGUGGCGGACGGGUGAGUAACACGUGAGUAACCUGCCUCUCAGAGUGGAAUAACGUUUGGAAACGAACGCUAAUACCGCAUAACGUGAGAAGAGGGCAUCCUCUUUUUACCAAAGAUUUAUCGCUGAGAGAUGGGCUCGCGGCCGAUUAGGUAGUUGGUGAGAUAACAGCCCACCAAGCCGACGAUCGGUAGCCGGACUGAGAGGUUGAUCGGCCACAUUGGGACUGAGACACGGCCCAG